Non-coding RNA from Myotis davidii, 75 nucleotides. The record is from Rfam. Lineage: Eukaryota; Metazoa; Chordata; Mammalia; Chiroptera; Vespertilionidae.
CUCGGGGAGGGGGAGGUCCCUCAGCCCAGAUUGCAAGAGGGCGUAAGCCAGACUGAGGGACCCAACCAGUGCAUG